Molecule: ribosomal RNA, 617 nt
Filed under: uncultured Lachnospiraceae bacterium
Lineage: Bacteria; Bacillati; Bacillota; Clostridia; Lachnospirales; Lachnospiraceae
Description: bacterial SSU rRNA
Rfam family: Bacterial small subunit ribosomal RNA
Source: RNAcentral
GCCUAACACAUGCAAGUCGAGCGAAGCGUUUAAAGGAAGUUUUCGGAUGGAAUUUGAAAUGACUGAGCGGCGGACGGGUGAGUAACGCGUGGGUAACCUGCCUCAUACAGGGGGAUAACAGUUAGAAAUGACUGCUAAUACCGCAUAAGCACACAGUACCGCAUGGUACGGUGUGAAAAACUCCGGUGGUAUGAGAUGGACCCGCGUCUGAUUAGCUGGUUGGCGGGGUAACGGCCCACCAAGGCGACGAUCAGUAGCCGACCUGAGAGGGUGACCGGCCACAUUGGGACUGAGACACGGCCCAAACUCCUACGGGAGGCAGCAGUGGGGAAUAUUGCACAAUGGGGGAAACCCUGAUGCAGCAACGCCGCGUGAGUGAAGAAGUAUUUCGGUAUGUAAAGCUCUAUCAGCAGGGAAGAAAGUGACGGUACCUGACUAAGAAGCCCCGGCUAACUACGUGCCAGCAGCCGCGGUAAUACGUAGGGGGCAAGCGUUAUCCGGAUUUACUGGGUGUAAAGGGAGCGUAGACGGCACAGCAAGUCUGAAGUGAAAUCCCCGGGCUCAACCCGGGAACUGCUUUGGAAACUGUUGGGCUGGAGUGCUGGAGAGGCAAGCGG